GACGAACGCUGGCGGCGUGCCUAAUACAUGCAAGUCGAACGCAGUGGGGACGGGUGAGUAACACGUGCGUAACCUCCCCUCAGAGGGCAGAACACUUGGAUACAGGUGCUAAACCGAUACUGAUGGAUGAACUCGCGGUGCAUUAGCUAGUUGGUGAGGUAACGGCCAACCAAGUCCACGAUGCAUACCUGACCUGAGAGGGUGAUCAGCCACACUGGAACUGAGACACGGCCCAGACUCCUACGGGAGGCAGCAGUAGGGAAUCUUCGGCAAUGGACGAAAGUCUGACCGAGCAACGCCGCGUGAGUGAAGAAGGUUUGCGGAUCGUAAAGCACUGUUAGUAGGGAAGCGGUAUCUAACCAGAAAGCCACGGCUAACUACGUGCCAGCAGCCGCGGUAAUAC
Molecule: ribosomal RNA, 403 nt
Filed under: uncultured bacterium
Lineage: Bacteria
Description: partial 16S ribosomal RNA
Rfam family: Bacterial small subunit ribosomal RNA
Source: RNAcentral